This 72-nucleotide transfer RNA is filed under the name Apaloderma vittatum (bar-tailed trogon). It matches the Rfam family "tRNA". Rfam says of the family: Transfer RNA (tRNA) molecules are approximately 80 nucleotides in length. Their secondary structure includes four short double-helical elements and three loops (D, anti-codon, and T loops). Lineage: Eukaryota; Metazoa; Chordata; Aves; Trogoniformes; Trogonidae. The record is from Rfam by way of RNAcentral.
GGCCAGUUAGCUCAGUCAGUUGAGUGUGGUGCUGAUAACACUAAGGUCGUGGGUUCGAUCCCUGUUUGGUCC